RNAcentral lists this ribosomal RNA (301 nucleotides) under uncultured bacterium. RNAcentral describes it as "partial 16S ribosomal RNA". It matches the Rfam family "Bacterial small subunit ribosomal RNA", at positions 509 to 807 of the family's 1533-position model. The record is from RNAcentral.
CAGUCGCCGCGGGAAUACGUAGGUGGCAAGCGUUGUCCGGAAUUAUUGGGCGUAAAGGGCUCGCAGGCGGUUUCUUAAGUCUGAUGUGAAAGCCCCCGGCUCAACCGGGGAGGGUCAUUGGAAACUGGGAAACUUGAGUGCAGAAGAGGAGAGUGGAAUUCCACGUGUAGCGGUGAAAUGCGUAGAGGUGUGGAGGAACACCAGUGGCGAAGGCGACUCUCUGGUCUGUAACUGACGCUGAGGAGCGAAAGCGUGGGGAGCGAACAGGAUUAGAUACCCCUGUAGUCCCUGUCUCUUAUAC